GGAGGGAUGGCUGAGUGGUUUAAGGCGUAGCAUUGGAACUGCUAUGUGAACUUUUGUUUACCGAGGGUUCGAAUCCCUCUCUCUCCU
RNAcentral lists this transfer RNA (87 nucleotides) under Paphiopedilum dianthum. Its description in RNAcentral is "tRNA-Ser". It matches the Rfam family "tRNA". From Rfam's summary of the family: Transfer RNA (tRNA) molecules are approximately 80 nucleotides in length. Their secondary structure includes four short double-helical elements and three loops (D, anti-codon, and T loops). Lineage: Eukaryota; Viridiplantae; Streptophyta; Magnoliopsida; Asparagales; Orchidaceae. The record is from RNAcentral. RNAcentral also lists the same sequence under 3 other names.